Long non-coding RNA from Caretta caretta (loggerhead turtle), 2364 nucleotides. RefSeq lists it as uncharacterized. The record is from RefSeq and is a predicted model, not a curated record. Lineage: Eukaryota; Metazoa; Chordata; Testudines; Cheloniidae.
UAAUAUGAAAAUGAGUCAGUCUUAUAUUACAGAGAUAACCAAGCAGAAUCUUAAACUGCAGAAUUUCCCCUGCUUUGUUUCUGAGGUUUUCCUGUGCGUGACAGUGGCUAGUUAAGUCAGAUGUCACUUUCUUAACACACCCUGCUAUGUUUAAGAAAAAUACUGGAAUACAUCCAAUAUUAUAUCACAUUUGUAGCAUAUGAUACCAUAUGUGAUUUGGAAAUUUGUGCAGUACAGUACUUACAUAAUUUAUAAAUAUACUUGUUUGCUUUAUUUUGGUUUAGUAUUUAGAAAGACAAAGAAAAUAAUUCAAAUAAGCAAACAGGUGACAACAAACUUUAGCCAUUAAAAAUCAUUAGUAUUCUAGAGCAGUGGUCCAUGAUAAUCGUAGAAUAUAUUGGUAAUAUUAUUAGUAUAUAAUAGGUACCACUAUUACAUUAAUCUGUUUCUUAAAAUUUUCCAAGUAAUUUGACACAGAAGAAAAAAAAGCAACUUGGAUAACUGAAUUCCACAGAUUUAAAUGGUAAAUGGUAUAUUGUUAUUUACUUUUAAUCCGCUUCUGUGUGUUUCUCUUUAAUGUGGCAAAGAGGCCUGUGGCACCUUAUAGACUGACAUAUUAGCACAUAGGCUUUCGUGGGUGAAUACCCACUUCGUCGGAUGCAUGGGGUGGGGGAGGACCCCUGCGCUGACGCCCCCAUCCCGCCCCUUCCACCAGAGGCCCCUGCCCUGGUGAGAGCUCAAUUUUACUGCCAUGGCUGAUGGUUAGCGUCUGGCACGGAGCUGGACCGUCCCGAAGGCCGAAGUUAAAAAUUAAAGAUGGUUGAGUUUUCUUUUUAUGAGGCACAAAAGACUUCAGCAGUCUUGUAGAGGCUGUUUUUAUGCCUUGCUAGGAUGGAUGGAGUGGUUCUUAGAAGGUUCUGCUGGUUACUCAAAGAUUCCAGGGGAUGCUGAUGAGAGUAGACCUUCUACUCUCCAACUAAUUGGAAGCCUUUGAGGAGGACCACUGGGGAGUCCCGACGACUGCUGGAUUUUGGUGCAGGCGGGGAGACCCUUUGGGAUGAUGGACACCAGGAAAGCAGGACCCCCCACAGGUGCAGUGGACACAAUAUACGGAUGCGAGGCCCAGGACCUUCUACUCUCUGGCUGAUUGGGAGCCUUCGAGGAGGACCACUGGGGAGUCCCGACAACUGAUGGGCUUUGUUGCAGGUGGGGAGACCCUCGGGGAUGCUGAUCACCAGGAAAACAGCAAGACCCUUCACAGGAUGACCUCCUGCUGUUCUUCCCUUUCUGUGGACUUCCCAUUGCCCUGCUGAUUUGUAUGUAAAUGGAGCUUCCGCUGUUUUUGGUCACACCUUGCUUAAUUUCAUUGGAGACAGGAAGACAGCUGCCUUCCAUUCUGUCUAAGAAAAGACUGGAAGAUAAUGAGCUUUCAAACUUUUUCAACUCCUAACUGGGCUCUCAACUUUAAACGAACUAGUCCAAAUGAAGAAAAUAUUCUCUCUGCAUCUGCAGAGAGGUGAUUGCCAUCAAAAGUUGGUUUAACACUUCAAUAAAUUCUUGUUCCAAUUGCUUAGCCACCAUCUUUCACCAAUUUAUUGGCUUGACUUCCUUUAAACAUCAGCAAAAACCAUGUACAGCUUGAAUAGUUUGCUUUCAGCCCUGAAAUUGAUUAUGGUUGGCGUGAUUGAUUGGCUGAUUACUGGAUGCUGUAAUGGACUUGCAUCCCCUUUUUUCUACUGGCCUCUUGUGCUGUCAUGACAUAGAUUCUUCCUCUUAAUCCCGCCUCUCUGGGGCUACCAAUAAAUUCAAGACAGGCUUCAUGUGGGAGAACACCCCUUUAUUCAGCAAAUAAUCUACCAAGCAAGAAAUGAAAUCUUAUCAAUAAAGGGAAAGGUAACUACCUUUCUGAAUCCAGAACUGUAAAAUCCUUCCUGGCCAGAGGAAAAACCCUUUCACCUGUAAAGGGUUAAGAAGCUAGGAUAACCUCGCUGGCACCUGACCAAAAUGACCAAUGAGGAGACAAGUUACUUUCAAAGCUGGAGGGAGGGGGCAAAAAAAAAAGGGGGUCUGUGUGUGUGUGAUGCUUUUGCUGGGACUAGGUCAGGAAUGCUUUUCAGAACUUCUGUUAAAUUAGUAAGUAAUCUAGCUAGAAAUGUUAGAUUUCCUUUUGUUUAAAUGGCUGGUAAAUAAGGUGUGCUGAAUGGAAUGUAUAUUCCUGUUUUUGUGUCUUUUUGUAACUUAAGGUUUUGCCUAGAGGGAUUCUCUAUGUUUUGAAUCUGAUUACCCUGUAGGGUAUUUACCAUCCUGAGUUUACAGAGGUGAUUCUUUUACUUUUUCUUUAAUUAAAAUUCUUCUUUUAAGAUC